CCGUGAGAUGUCCUGUNAAGUCAGGUANCGAGCGAGAUCCCCUGCCGCUAGUUGCUAUCAUUAUUCUCAGGAAUAGUGGAGCGAAUUAGUGGGACUGCCGUUGUUAAAACGGAGGAAGGAAGGGGCUACGGCAGGUCAGUAUGCCCCGAAACUCUGGGGCCACACGCGGGCUGCAAUGGUAGUGACAAUGAGUUCCAAACUCGAAAGAGAGUGGCAAUCUCUAAACGCUACCACAGUUAUGACUGAGGGCUGUAACUCGCCCUCACGAAUAUGGAAUCCCUAGUAACCGCGUGUCAUUACCGCGCGGUGAAUACGUCCCUGCUCCUUGCACACACCGCCCGUCGUUUCAUCGAAGUUUGCUUUUAACGAGGUGAUGUUUAAUUGGCAUUAUCGAAUUUGAGGUAAGCGACGAGGGAAAAGUCGUAACAAGGUA
RNAcentral lists this ribosomal RNA (433 nucleotides) under uncultured archaeon. RNAcentral's name for it is "bacterial SSU rRNA". It matches the Rfam family "Archaeal small subunit ribosomal RNA", at positions 1014 to 1445 of the family's 1478-position model. The record is from RNAcentral.